This 406-nucleotide ribosomal RNA is filed under the name uncultured bacterium. RNAcentral describes it as "partial 16S ribosomal RNA". It matches the Rfam family "Bacterial small subunit ribosomal RNA", at positions 30 to 526 of the family's 1533-position model. The record is from RNAcentral.
AUUGAACGCUGGCGGCAGGCUUAACACAUGCAAGUCGAGCGAGUGGCGGACGGGUGAGUAAUGUCUGGGAAACUGCCUGAUGGCGGGGGAUAACUACUGGAAAUGGUAGCUAAUACCGCAUACCAUCAGAUCCGCCCAUAUGGGAUUAGCUAGUAGGUGGGGUAAUGGCUCACCUAGGCGACGAUCCCUAGCUGGUAUGAGAGGAAGACCAGCCACACUGGGACUGAGACACGGACCAGACUCCUACGGGAGGCAGCAGUGGGGAAUAUUGCACAAUGGGGGCAAGCCUGAUGCAGCCAUGCCGCGUGUGUGAAGAAGGCCUUCGGGUUGUAAAGCACUUUCAGCGGGGAGGCGUUACCUGCAGAAGAAGCACCGGCUAACUCCGUGCCAGCAGCCGCGGUAAUAC